GGUUAUUCAGCUACCCUAAAGAAUAACGAAAAAGAAAGAAAACAAGCUUCUCCUCUCUCCCUUUUUUGCGCUGUUCUCGGGCUAAACCGUCCACGGGUCCUCCGGUAGCCUCGACUCCGACGAGAACGACUAUGGGAUCACCGAGGUAAGUAUUCACUCCUUCUUAACUUGUUUUCAUUAUUUGUUAAAAGAAAGUAAAAAAGAACGAAAUCGAGAAAGAAAACAAUAAAAGUGCCGGAUCUACCUUUAAAAAAACGAUUUUAGAGAAAAGUUCCCUUUUGUAUUCAAUAUCUGUAUGCUUUUUUUGUAUAUUCGAUCGUCCCCCCUUUUUUACAAUGUUCUUUGGUCUUUUUAUAGUAUCUAUUUACAAUAAAAAGAAAAGAAAAUCCAAAAAUAAAAAUCUACCAAUCGCCCUCGCUCUGCCUUUUUAUUUUUCUCUGUGCCCCUUUUUUGUUUUGUGGUCUGUUUUCUACUGCGUUUGCUCGUCUCUGGCAGGUACUGUGUGUAGAGGUUGCGGAUGUGGCAUGUACGGAGGCGAAGGCGCACGUACGAGGCUCGUGCGAGCGGUGCUACGUGCAUGCGAGGGGACGUUUGCUGCGGUGCUGGUUGGGGCUGAUGCUAGGGUUUCCUCUUCUAUUGUAAUCGGGUCUGGGCUAGGUUGAUUUGGGCUUGUUAUAUUGGGUUUAGUUUGUUUAUCGGGCCUUUGUAUUAUUUUGGUAACUGAUCUGGGCCAAUUUGUAAAUGGACCUUUUCGCACUGAAUUUAAUAUUUUUCCUUUUUUGUUUUGAUUUUUUUUAUUUUUUUAAUGGGCCCCGGGCAAAUUGGGCCUGUUACAGCUGCUCCUCUUUGCUCAUUGUCGUGUAACAGGAAUAGAGCAAAGACUAAAAAGAACCAAUUUUUCCUGGUUGUGCUUGGACUUUGGUGCUCCUCUUUUUCGAGUUGCCUCAUUACAUCCUACUGUAUCUGCAGAGGUAUUGGAAUUGGUACUUCGAUUCACUCCACUGCAACGUCGGGGAGAUAGGAUUACUAGCUUCAAUCUUUUCGGUAUUCCCUUGCUGGUCAAGGAAAUAGGACUUGUGGCUUAAAUCUGUUUCCCUACUCCUGGGGAAGAUGAGAUUCGCCGUUUUCGAUCUGCUCCGCUACUGAUUAGGGAGGUAAGAUCUGCAAUCUCCAACCUAUUCCACUGCUGGUCAGGGACAUAAGACGUGUGGCUUAAACCUAUUUCCUUACUCUUGGGGAAGAUAAGAUUCACCGUCUUCGAUCUGCUCCGCUACUGUUUAGGGAGGCAAAAUCUGCAAUUUCCAACCUAUUCCACUGCUGUUCAGGGACAUAGGACUUGUGGCUUAAAUCUGUUUCCCUACUCCUGGGGAGAAUAAGAUUCGUCGCUUAGAUUUGUUUCCUUACUCCUGGGGAAAAUAAGAUUCUCCACUUAGAUCUAUUUCCCUAGUUCUGGGGAAGAUAAGAUUCGCCGCUUAGAUCUGUUUCCCUACUCCUGGGGAAGAUAAGAUUCGCCGCUUAGAUCUGUUUCCCUACUCAUUGGGAAGAUAAGAUUCACCGCUUAGAUCUGUUUCCCUACUCUUGGGGAAGAUAAGAUCCGCAAUAUUCACUGAUAUGUUCUCUAGGGAACAUAACAUGUGUAAUGAACCUAUUUAUGCCUAAUAGUUAGGAUGGCAUGAUCAGAAUAAAUCUAAUGCUCCUAACUAGACAUGAGUGAAUGGUAUUUUCCUGAAUGCAAUAUGUUGUCGUAUUAGUCAAAAUCUUAUUUAAGGCUUUUAUCAUAACCGCGCUUUAACACCCUCCUUCCUGGUUGGUGCCCUCAACAAAAAAUUUAAUUAAAUUGCCCCCGCUGUAAGCCUUCAAGCUCAAUUCAUUGGGUUGUGUUCAAUAUGCAACUCAAAAAAAUGGGGAGCUCUGGUCCUUUCUUCAUAUUCUAUCACAAUUGAAGGAUACUGAACGUGUAAACCUUUGGUAAACCACUCUCAGGAUGUCAUGCUUAGCACAAAGAAUUUUCCUCCAAGGAGAUCUCUCUUUUCUAACUCAUGACUAUUGCUGACAUUUCAUUCAAUUGACGCUUCCGUCAAUGAAGUCCGAAGGGACUGUUUAAAAUCAUAUUUUUUCUUAGAUUUCUGCCCUUUAAAUUUGGUUCAUUCUAAACAAUAGUCCUGUUUCAGAUUAUUGUAUUAUUUAGAAAAUUUUAGAGUAAUGUGCAAAACUUACUUUGUGAAAGUUCGGUAGUCCAUUAAUCAUUAUUCCAAUGCAACAUUUUACUGAAAGAUUAUGACUAUGGAUAAAUGUUGGUUCUAAGCAUAGCUCGAAAGAAAUAAAAUAUCAACAAUAGGGAGAGAAGAAUAACAAAUAAGUUGAUUGAGAAUGUGUAUAAUGAUAAAAUGUAUUAACACAUUCAAUACAAUAAGAACUAGGUGCCCAAGUUAUCGCAGUUUGAAUUUCUCUGUACAAACUUCCGAAGGCUAUUCUAAGUUUAGCAUGUGUUUAGGAGAUCUGCAGUACUCUGUCGAUGCUCCAAGAUAUCGUAUGCCCUUUCUUGUUGGUUCAGGUAUAGCAAGAUUAUCGUGUGCCCUGAUCAAAAUUUGAACAGUUCCAAUCUUCUCAUGCCCUUCUCUGACCAAUAUUUGAGCCGCCCUUUCUCAGCUUUUCGACUCAAAUCCCCUUUGAUCUCAAUGCGUCCUUUGCGGGUUUUCACAUUGGCCUCUCCAAAAUUUUUUUUUUAGGAAGCAAAUGCCCUUUGCGGGUUUUAACUUUGGUCCCCUUCUUUCAAGUGAAGUAUUUUUUUACAGAAUCUGCGUUUACGGGGUUUGGCAAACUUUUACCAUCCAUCUCACUUAGGAUCAAAGCUCCACCAGAAAAGGUCUUCUUUACAACAUAAGUACCCUCCCAAUUUGGCAUCCAUUUUCCUCUAAAGUCCUUUUGCAUAGGAAGGAUCUUUUUUAGCACCAAAUCUCCUUCGCGAAAUUCUCUAGGGCGAACCUUUUUGUCGUAGGCUCGCAUCAUUCGUUUCUGGUACAAUUGCCCAUGGUGAAUGGCUCUCAACCUCUUCUCCUCUAUUAGGUUCAACUGAUCAUAGCGAGAUUGGACCCACUCGGCUUCGUCCAACUGGAGUUCAGAUAAUACCCGUAGAGAGGGGAUCUCAAAUUCAAUGGGUAGUACUGCCUCCAUUCCAUAAACUAGAGAAAAAGGUGUUGCCCCGGUAGAAGUUCUAACAGAUGUUCGAUAGGCUGGGAGAGCAAAUGAUAACUUCUCAUGCCAAUCUUUGUAAGUCUCAGUUAUUUUCCCCACAAUUCUUUUAAUAUUCUUAUUGGCCGCCUUUACUGCACCAUUCAUUUUUUGACGAUACGGCGAUGAGUUAUGAUGCUUGAUCUUAAAUUGGUUACAAACCUCAUCUAUUGUGUUAUUGUUCAAAUUCAGCGCAUUGUCGGAUAUGAUUCUCUCAGGCAUUCCAUAUCGACAAAUGAUCUCCUUUUUCAAGAAUUUGCAGACUGCUGACUUCUUGACAUUUUCGUAUGAAGCAGCUUCUACCCACUUGGUGAAGUAAUCAAUGACUACAAAGAUAAAACGAUGCCCAUUAGAAGCCUUUGGUGAUAUUGGCCCAAUGACAUCCAUACCCCACAUGGAAAACGGCCAUUGAGAGGUCAUAACAUGAAGUGGCAAAAGGGGUGCAUGCAUCCUGUCUCCAUAAAUCUGACAUUUAUGGCAUUUCUUGGCGUAAUUAAUGUAAUCCCCUUCCAUAGUGGACCAAUAGUAUCCAAAUCUCAUGAUCUGUCUGGCCAUGGUGAAACCAUUGGCGUGCGUCCCACAGAUACCCUCAUGGACCUCCUCCAAAAUUUUUUUAGCUUCCACGGCAUCCACACAUCUUAACAGUAUAGCACUUCCCUGUCUAAGACAUAUUCGACAGCUAUUCUCCUCAGAGUUCUCUUGUCGUUCUCUGUUGCUCGACUAGGGUACUCCCGAUUCUUUACAUACUGUAGAAUACUCUGAUACCAAGGGUGAUCGUCUUUUCCUUGCUCCUCAAUAUUAUAACAAUGAGCUGGGGUUUCAUAGAUACUCAUCUGAAUAGGCCUUAUUACUUCAAGCCUGUUCACCAGAAUCAUCGAAGCUAACGUAGCCAAUGCAUCAGCCAUUUGAUUUUCCUCUCGUGGGAGAUAACUGAAGGUGAUAUCGUCAAACUCGUCAACCAACUCGAGGACCAGCAUUCUAUAACUGAUUAACUUAGGGUCUCCAGUUUCCCUUUCCCCUUUAAGUUAGUAUAUCACCAAUACGGAAUCCCUAUAUACUCUUAGCACUUUGAUGUUCCGCUCGAUGGUUGCGCGAAUGCCCAUAAUACACGCUUCAUAUUCUACCAUAUUAUUUGUGCAAUCAAAGUCUAACUUACUAGCCACAGGGUAAUGAUCUCCACUCGGGGAUACCAGGACUGCCCCAAUUCCAUUACCUAUAGCAUUCGAAGCUCCGUCGAAAUUUCACCUCCACUCAUGAUCCAUCUGAGGAUUUUCUUCAGUGCUUGCUACGCACAUCAAGUCCUCGUUUGGAAAAUCGAAGUUUAAGGGCUCAUAAUCCUCCAAGGCUUUACUUGCCAGGAAAUCAGCUAUUGCACUCCCUUUUAUGACCUUCUGACUUACAUAUACUAUGUCAAACUCAGAGAGCAGGAUCUGCCAUCUAGCCAUUCUCCCAUUUAAGGUAGUUGAUUCCAUCAUAUAUUUUAAAGGAUCCAACCUUGAAAUCAACCAAGUCGUAUGAUACUACAUAUACUGCCUUAGUCUUCGUGUCGCCCAGAUUAAAGCACAACACAAUUUCUCGAUUGACGAAUAUCUCAAUUCACAGCCAGUGAAUUUCUUGCUGAGAUAAUAUAUUGCCCUUUCUCUCUUUCCCGUUUCAUCGUGUUGGCCCAAUACACAUCUCAUGGAAUUCUCGAACACCGUUAGAUACAAUAUUAAUGGCCUAUCCGAACUUGGCGGUGAUAAUACGGGAGUAUUGGUCAAAUAUUACUUUAUCUCGUCGAAAGCUUGCUGACAUUCCUCAUCCCAAUCACCCGGAUUAUGCUUAUUUAAAAAACGGAAUACUGGAUCACAUUUCUCCGUCAAUUAUCCAAUGAAUCGAGUAAUGUAAUUCAGUCUUCCUAGGAUACUUCAGACUUCUUUUUGAGUGCGCAGAGGAGGCAGGUUUCGGAUUGCCUUUACUUCGUUCGGGUCCACCUCAAUCCCCCUCUUACUAACAAUAAAGCCUAAUAACCUCUCUGAUCUGGCUCCAAAUGUGCAUUUUGCAGGGUUAAGUUUGAGCUGAAAUUUCCUCAAUCUCAAAAAUAAUCUUUUCAAGACUUGAACAUGCUCCUCUUCAGUUUUAGAUUUGGCAAUCAUAUCAUCAACAUAGACUUCGACCUCCUUAUGCAUCAUGUCAUGAAACAAGGUCACAAUAGCCCUUUGAUAUGUUGCUCCCGCAUUCUUCAAUCCAAAUGGCAUUACUUUGUAACAAAAUAUUAUUUUUCUUAUAUCCUCAGGGUGCAUCUUUAUUUGAUUGUAUCCAGAAAAGCCGUCCAUGAAAGAGAAUAGUGAGUAUCCCGCCGUAUUUUCUACCAAAGUAUCAAUGUGAGGCAACGGAAAAUUAUCCUUUGGACUAGUCUUAUUCAAAUCCUUGUAAUCCACGCACAUCCGUACCUUUCCAUCUUUCUUGGGAACAGGGACGAUGUUAGUACCCAAUCUGAAUAUUUGAUCUCUUGUAAGAACCUAGCAUUGAACUGCCUUUUGACCUCUUCUUUUAUUUUUAGCUCAACAUCAGGUCUCAUCCUCCUUAACUUCUGCUAAAUCGGUUUACAAUCUUCUUUUAUGGGUAGACGAUGUACCACGAUGCUAGUACUUAACCCGAGCAUAUCUUGGUAUGACCAUGCAAAAACAUCUUUGAAUUCUCGGAGUAAUUCAGUGAGGUCUUGCUUUGUCUUUGCGGCGAUUUCAAUUCUAAUUUUUACCUCAUUUCCCUCCUCUCGGCUCAAAAUUUCUAAUGAUUCCCUAUAAGGUAGGAUUUGCUCAUCCUCUUGUUCUACCAUUCUCGACAAGUCUGGAGAUAUACCACAGUCUUCGUCAUUUUCAAAGUCGUGAGAUUCCUCUAAACACAUGUCUUGCUCAAAAAGAAGCUCCAUGUUUGAAACAGCGUCAUUCAUGUCGUUGAUAUCUGAGGACCUAUAAGGGCAUAUCAAAGAAUAUACCAAAAAUAUAUAAAUUUAUGAAUGAUUAUUUAUACAAUAAGGUUACAAAUGAAAGAAUUAUUUGCAGGACAAUCAAUUAGAAAGUGCUUAUUUGUAUAAAAGAAAAAGAAUAAUUGCUCGAAAUGAAUGUAAAGAUGUAUUUCAUUAGAAUAACGAUGUUCAGGCUCAAGCCUUUUUCACAAAAGAUUUCCUGUCAUUUUCAGGCUUAAACAACAAGAAUGUUCUGAGUAUUACUCUGAAUAAGCCCUAAAGACUACAGGGAUUUCUUCCGCAGUCCAGUUGUUUAGCUCGCUUCCAGUUUCGUAAGGACAGAUCUCUAACGAGGCUUUUUUCUCAGAUGUUUCUAUAGCAUUGAUAUGAACAUUUUCUAACAUCUCUCCAAUGUCUUUGCUUUUGGGCACCCCACGUUCAGGAUGAAUAAAUCCACCCAAUACAAAAGAUGUACAUAUGUGGGGAAAGGACAUAGGCUCCCACUUAACCUCUUUUCCGCUUAAACGUGUCCUUCUUCUCUCUUGUCUUUUUUCUACCUCUUUCUUCUUCUGCUUCAUGUCUGGCUUGUAUCCUAACCCAUAACUGUCAAACUUUUCCUUCAGUAUCGGUGCUUCAAUCUUUCCUUGAAGAUACUUUCCCAAUCCUUUUCCGGGUGAAGCCCCUCUUCCAAAAAUCAAUUGCAGCCCCAUCUCUGUGCUCCUGGGUAUUUUCGGUACUGGAUUUCUGCUUCCUUCAGCAAUAAACAUCGCGUUCACAAAUUCUAAUGACUGAAAAGAGCAUUCCACUGCCUCAUCAUCAAUCUCCACAUAAGGUGCUUCGCCAGUUAUUGUUGCGAUGAUAUCUUCCUCUGUACUUAUUGUUAUCACCCGACCCUCUGAUACUAUCUUCACCUUCUGAUGUAGCGAUGAAGGUACUGCCCCAGCUGAGUGUAUCCAUGGCCUUCCCAAUAAACAGUUGUAGGAAGGCUUAAUAUCCAUCACCAAGAAGUCCACAUCAUAAGUAAUUAGGUCAAUCCUUAACGGUACCUCAAUUCUACCCAUAACCUUCUUUUCAGUUCCAUCAAAUGCCCUUACUAUACUCUGGCUCGCUUUCAUGUGGGAAUUGUCCACGUGUAACCAAAUAAGAGUAGAUAAAGGCAAUACGUUUAGUGCAGAUCCGUUAUCAAUCAGGAUCUCCAAGAGUAUGUACCCUUUGCAUCGGGCAGUGACGUGCAGGGCUUUAGUGGAACCCCUUCCUCUAGAUGGUAUUUCGUCAUCACUAAAGAAGAUAAAAUUGUCAGCAUUUAUAUUGUUGACCAACCGAUCCAGCUUGUUCACCGAAAUAUCAUCCGCCACAUAUAUUUCAUUUAGUACUUUCAAUAGUGCAUUUCGAUAUGCUUCUGAACUUAAGAGCAAAGCUAAUAUAGAAAUGCGGGCUGGCUGUUUGCGUAGCUGUUCCACAACGCUAUAUUCGCUGUGUUUCAAAAAAUUCAGAAAUUCUUUUGCCUCAUCCUCUUUUACUGGUUCAUUAACCAAUGACUCAACUUCCACGGUUUUCUCUUUCUUCUGCUCUCUUUUCUAAUUCUCUUCUCUUGACGGUUCUGCCUGUGCGUCAUAUCGCUUCCCAUUACGUGUGUAAGAACCUAUUUCCUGAUUUCUUUCUGCUUCUUUUCUCAAGAUUGUCACGUUACAUCCAUAAUUCCAUGGUACCAUUUUGUCAUCCUUGUAUGGGAAAUUUGAUGGUUUCUGGAUUAUAAUUUUUGGUGUUGUACGGACACUAGACCCAUCGCUCCGAGGGCGUGAAAUGAUGACCACAGGAUGAUUCAUUUCCGUGGUCUUCGCUGCCAACUCUGAUGCGUAAACAUUUCAUUUACCCUCUGCUUCUUCAUAAAAUCUCAUCUCUUUGUUGUCCAUCAUGCUCUGGACCAAAGCCCUGAAUCCCUCACACUCUUGAAUUUCAUGUCCUGCCUCAUGGUGGAAUUCACAAUAGUUUUCAUCUUCACAUCUUUCUUCAUAAUUUGAAAUAACUAGCCCUCUCAUCGCCAUUUGUCUCCAAACCCACUUCAACGGAGUUUUUACUUCAGUGAUGUCAUUCUUGACCUCUUCUCCCCUACUUUCGCUCAUCAAAUUCACUCCCUUAUCAGUAUGAUUGGGUAGCGAAUUUUCUGCAUUAGGUGAGUCAUCAAACUUAACAACACCCAUGCUAAUAAACUUUUCGACUAGCUUCUUGAAAGCAGUGCAGUUUUUUAUUGAGUGCCCUGUAAUUCCGGCAUGGUAAUCACAUUGGGCGCUCGCAUCGUACCACUUAGGAUACGGGGGUUGCAAAGCGGUCAAGUAAUGGGGAGAAACUACGUGUGUGUUAAACAAAUUCUGAUAUAGCUCUUUGUAUGACAUCGGAAUUGGUGUGAACUGGGGCUUCUCAGUACCCUGCCUCACACCAGAUUCUUGUCUCGUUGAACCCUGUUGACCCGCAAUCACCUUUCUCGGCUGGUUCACCAUAAUUGACUUGUUGUAUGCAUUUAUAUUGCUCACUUCAUUUUCUUUUCUUCUCGAGGCUGACCUUUUAUUGCUUUUUCCUGCUUCUAUUUUCCCGUUUCUUAUGGCAUUCUCAAUCAUUUUACCAUUCAUUACUAUAUCUGAGAAACUUUUGGUUGCACUUCCUAGCAUGUGCAUAAUGAACGGGGCUCUUAAGGUAUUGAUAAAGAGUAUUGUGGCCUCUCAUUCUAAGAGCGGUAGUUGGACUUGGAUGGCAAUUUCCCUCCAUCUUUAUGCGUACUGUCUGAAACUCUCACUUGGUUUCUUCUCCAUGUUUUGUAGUGUAAUUCUAUCGGGGGUCAUAUCCGUUACAUGGCUGUACUGCUUCAUGAAUGCCUGUGCUAGGUCCCUCUAUGAACCAAUCUUGGUACAACUCAAUUGAUUGUACCAUUUAGACGCUGCCCCUACUAAAAUGUCUUAAAAACAGUGGAUUAACAGCUGAUCGUUAUUGACGUAGCCAGUCAUCCUUCUACAGAACAUAGUGAUGUGGGCCUCGGGGCAACUAGUUCCAUUAUAUUUCUCAAAUUCAGGCAUCUUGAAUUUAGGAGGUAGUACCAAAUCUGGGACCAAGCUUAGAUCUUUGGCGUCGAUUCCCUGAUUACUAUCAGCGCUCUCCAAGGCUUUGAACUUUUCUUCCAACCACCUAUACCUAUCCUCCCAUUGUUUUGGUAAUUCUGCGCUUGCUUUUCCUUCUUCAGCUGUUUCAUCAAAAUUCGGAAUAGUGGGAUUGAUUAGGUUUUCUCCCAGGUUUAAACUCGAUUGUCCUUGAAAAUUUGUGGCACCAGUUUGUAAUUGUUGCGGCCUAAUUGUGACGGACGGUCCUCUUUGGUACACUUCAGUUUGGGUUCAUGCAUUUGGUGGCGUGAAACCCGGAGGAUACAAUGGAUCCUCGCUACCCUCUCCAUGAUCGGCCAUAGGGCCCUUUCCUUUAUCUACUCCUCCCGUCAAUAGAUGGGUCAAUUCAGCCAUAGCAUCCUUUUGAGAUUUAAUCAACUUUUCUAUCAUGUCUUCUUGAAUUUUAUCCAAUCGCUCUUGCAUUUAUGCUUGUAAUCGUUCUUGCAUAUCCCACUACAUUUAUUCCAGUUUCUCUAGUCUUUGGUCCAUUUCUUUAGUUUUUUGUCGAGUACCGUAUUGAUGCUUAAUGGGUGAGCUUUUGUUGGUUUCCAGGUUAAUUGUAAUAAUUUAACCAAUUAGGGUCUUUUGGUGGACUUUAAUACAUAUGAUGCAAUGUGAUGCAAUGCAUGAAUGCAAAAAGGUGUCGAUUCUGAUUUAAUUUCAUUUAGAAAGCUUCAUUUGGAUAACAGCAUUCUUUACAUAAAAUAGAUUACAUAUACAAUUUUGCCCUGAUGCUCAGAAUUUUAAUCUUUUUAAGCAGCGAAGCAAGCUCUCUUCCCCGGUCUGAUUUCAGCUCGUACUUUACGCUCAAAGUAUCAGCUUAUAUUGCUAGGGUCUACAAGUAAUCGGCUACCUCCCGAAUCUGGGUCACAGCUUCUCCCAUGACAUGAUCUCUGUCUCUAACUUGGCUUUGAUAAUAAUAGAGCUGUUCUUUCUGACGUUCUUCAUUUUCUUUAAAAAAUGCAAUCCGCGUAUCACAAUCUUGUAGCCUCGCAUCUAACUCUUCCACUCUUUUCUUUGUUUCUUCAAUCUUGUUCAAGCUCGCUCUUAAUUCCAUCGCGGUAUUACGAUUUCGGUAAUGAUGAAGAGACAUUUCAAGUUCAGCUAUUCGUGCCUUUAAUUCAUCUGUCACACCCGGCUUUCUAACAGAAUCCUCUCCAGGGUCUGGUUUUGUAUUUGAGUCUCUUGCCAUUUCUUUUCCCAUCCAUCAGCCUUGUCUCUUUCUUCUUGGAUUUCUAGUCGCCAUUACUCUGAAGUCUUUCCCAGCCCCGCGGUUUUCAUUGAUACCCGUAACUUUUUGUAGUCUGUCUUUAAGCUAUCCAGAUCCUCUUCUACUUUAUUAUUCCCUUUCUUUAAUUUUUCGGCCUCUAACUUUUGGAUGUCCACGUCUAGUCUCAAAUGCAUCUUCUCUUCUUCCAACCGCUCUAUUUUUUUUUGAGUUAUGAAUUCCUCUUUUCGAAAUCUUGUUUUAUAAUCUCCAACUCUGAUGGGACUACUUGUAGGUACUCUUCCAUUGGUCGAACACCCUCCAAGUUUAACUCUGGAAUGUUAUCAUUAAUUCUCUUAUUUCGCCAUUCACUGUAUUCUAGAGUUGUCAUUGAACCCACAGCUAACCUUUUCAUCCUAUGAACCUGAUUCCAAGCCUGAAAAAUUUCUUUCACCCUUCUCUUGUAAUUGUCUCCCCAGUACGAGAACUCACAUUAAGCUAAACCUUGCGUUGUCGGCACAAACUGUCUUGAAUUAUAUUGCCUUAGGACCAACAAAGGUGCAUACCCAACGACUCCCUAAAUCUCUAGCAACGGGACCCAGUCAAAGCUUCCACAACGGUAAAGAAUUUCAUUAGGAAUCAACCAGGGAGCUCUCCAUUCCACAUCAUCAUCUUGAAGAUUUUGCAGGAUUGCUGUCCAAUUUUCUUCUGAUAUGUCGUCCCUUCUUGGCGUAGCCACUAUCUCUUUUAACGGGGAGUAAUGCCCAGAGAAAAUUCGAUACGAAACUUUGUCGACCUUCUAGAAAUGACUACGGAACCAGGCUAACAAUAAUUGCACACAACCUAUGAAUCUGCCUUCCCCAGCUCGCCUACACGCAUUCAGAGAUCUAAACGUUUCAGCUAAAAUCGCAGGAACAGGCGUGACCCCUUUACUCAACCGAUCAAAGAGAUAUGAAACCGCCUCGCCAACAUGCCCCAGCGCUCUAGGGAAGAUCACUAACCCGUAGAUACUCAAAGCAAACACGUCGACCUUCUUUUUCCCAUCCGGAUGCGCUAUAAUCAAGUCCCACAAAUUUUUCCAUGGAAUACAUUUACACUCCCCUUUCUGCUUGAUCCUGGUCGUAAUCCACUGCUCGCUCAUGCCAGUAAUAUUCAUCAGCUUCUUCCAAAAUGUCGGGACGUACGCGGCUCUAGAAUAUGCUUUAUCUACCUGAAGCCUGGGACAAUGUAGUAAAGCUGUAUAUUCCUCUACUGUAGGCACCAGAUCUACUUUGCCAAAAGUGAAACAACUAUAUGCAGGAUUCCAAUAUUGAGCAAGAGCCCGAAACAAUCGCUCAUCUACCCUGACAUCAAGCAAAUACGGCAAAUCUCCAUAAUUGGAAUAGAACAACUGCUUGGUCUCAUCAUUCCACUUAUCCCAUAUUUCUGUCAACUCCUGAAGGCUAUUUUGCGUCACGCUAAUACGAGUGUUGUCCCACAGCUCUGACACAUAAUCUUUAGCUAGACUGUCUCCCUUUUCCAAUUGCACAUUCUCUGACUAUAUACGGACCAUGGCAUUGUCUUCCACCUUAUCAAGAAAGUCGUUCUCCAUGACAAACUUUCUAAUUUUAACAACCGAACUUGAAUCGACACUCUUUUGAAUAUGAAAUGACAUGCAAACAUAUCAAUAAAACACCAUAAGUCAGUAUAACAUAUCAAUAAAAUUGGCAACAAAAUUAAGAGAAACAAGCAUUUACAUGAGCAAUCCUUAGAGUUUGGGGAAUUAUACCUAAGCUGGAUUCCUAGGCUAUCUAUAUGCGGUUUGGUUCUAAAUUCGAGGUACCCGAACCAGCAGAUUCCUCAGUCUUCACCUAUUAUAGACUCAUACAGACCAAGUUCGGUUCAGGGGAAUAUAUUUCCCUAUGGCUGCACGGAGAUGAAAAUCUCACGAAGACAUAGGUACGGAUGUACUCCGAAAGUGAUCCACUAUCCUGCACGGAGGUGAAAACCUCACGAAGGAGUAGCUUCUCACUCCCACUUAAAAAGGGUAAGACUAAAUAGUCUUUAUGCAAUAUGAUGACAAGUUAUAAAACACAAUAAUCAUACAAACAUAUGCAAAGAAAAUAUCAUAAAAUUAAAUAUUUAAAAUUUGACAAUAAGACAAAAACAAUCAAUUUUACGGCCUGACUCUCUUGGUGUCCCCAGCGGAGUCGCCAAGCUGUCGAAACCAUUUUUAAAUUUUGAAAAAACGGAUAUCGACCUUUUUUAAAAAGAAAACUCUGGGACUCGCCACCGAUCUUUUAUUAAGGUGUGAUCGGUUCACCAUUUAAAAUAAAUUUUAGGUCUGCGAAAUUUUAAGAAAACAGGUUCGGGGGUCAGUUACGUACUAGGAAGGGCUAGCACCCUCGUGAUGCCCAAAAUUGGUACCGAAUUGAUUAUUUAAUGCCUUAGUGUCGAGAAUUUGAAAAGAUUUUAAAAUACGAUCUUUGAAGUUUAAAUUUGCGUAAAACAAAAAUGAAUAAUAAGAUGGACUCAUUUUGGAGUAAUAAAUUGCUACACUCAGUGAGUUAGGGUGCAACAAUUCGAUCUUUUAGAAUUAAAUGUAUACCCGUUUUAAGAAAAUCUUGAAUUCGCAGAAGGGUAUUUGAUGAUUUAAAUCGAUCGAGAAAUCCGAACCCAAUAAGUUAGGGAUCAAUUUCCCGAAUUUUUUAAACAUCAAACAUUACCUCCACAUUUAAAAAAAACUUUAAUUCAAGGUAGCAAAGCUGUCAGAUCCAGUGAGUUAGGGUCCAGGCUUCGAAAUCUCGAAAAAAUUAUUUGAAAACUAUGAUUUUAUUUUAAAGGCGUUAUUUACCUAAAUUCGACGAAAAAAAAUAAAGCCCAGUAAGUUAGGGCACAAUUUUCUCGAAAAUCAUCGGAUGUAGGGUAUUCUGAAAACUUAAAAAAAAUUAUUUUAAUACAUUAGUAAAAUGUAGUCUCUUAACAAUAUAACAUGGUUAGAUGUUUUCAUAAAACGCGAAAGGGAAAUUCAAAGACAAAAUAUACAUUAAUGAACGAUAAGCAACCAAUGAACUAACAUGAACGAGCAUGACAAUAAUAGUUUCAAACAUACAUCACAUAAAUAUUAACAUUAGUUAACAAGAGGAGGUUAAUUAAAAUUAAAGCAAAAUCACAUAACUCAAAUGAAACAUAUAAGCUUGAACCUAAUUUAGGGAAUGAAUAAACUAGAGAGUUGAAACAAACUUGAAUAACUUAACAUGUAAAAAAAUGAUUGUUUAAAAAUGUUUGAGGAAAAUAAAAUCUAUUUGAUAGUAUGAAAUUACUAUGGGUUAUAUACGUACGUAGGUAUACAUAUAUAUGAUGAAAAUAAUCAUAGAAUAAGUAAAUAUAUUAUUAUUACAAUAAGGUAUUAUUUGAAAGUGUAUGUUUAUAAAUCUAAAAUAUAAUGAAUGAAUUUACAUAAAAAACCUAAAAUGAAAUAAAUUUAUGAAAUAUUAAUAAUAAAAGUAAUAUGUCAUAAGAAAUGGCUAAUACAUAUAGAUCUUUUUUUUUUUAAAGAAAACUAAAGGAUGCAUGUAAAAUAAAAAUAAAUUAAUGCGUAUAUACGAAAGCAAAUAAGUAUGAAAUAUAACAUCAAACAUAAUGAUGAUAAAUGCAUAUAGUAUAAUACUACUACUAAUAAUAAUAAAUAGAAGAAUAAUAAAAAGGGGUAAAUCACAAUCAAAAUCAAAUCAUCAGGAAAUAAAUGAAAUAUGAAUAAAACGGAGGACCCUACUGCAGUGUGCGAAUUAUAUGGGGGCCGAUUGGGAAAUAUCCCACUUCCCCAAAACGCAACACUUCAUAGUAGGUUAAAAUGGAACGAAAACAAAAUGUGUGGGUUAAAUCAGAGAAGGAAAAGGGACUUGAUUCAAAAGAAAACAGAAAAGGGGAGGGCUGGCCGCGCAAAUAUCCCUCCCUACACCAGAAUGCGCGGGUCAAGCUACGCCUGGGUCAGGUCAUCGGGUCGAGAGCAGGCCAUCUGGCAAUACAAUGCCGUUUUGGGAGCCACUGUUCAGGCCCCAAACGGCACCAUUUAAACCCCCUUAAAAUAGAGAAAUAAAGAAACCCUAAUGGGUUAUUCAGCUACCCUAAAGAAUAACGAAAAAGAAAGAAAACAAGCUUCUCCUCUCUCUUUUUUUUACGCCGUUCUCGGGCUAAACCAUCCACGGGUCCUCCGGUACCUCGACUCCGACGAGAACGACUAUGGGAUCACUGAGGUAAGUAUUCACUCCUUCUUAACUUGUUUUCAUUAUUUGUUAAAAGAAAGUAAAAAAGAACGAAAUCGAGAAAGAAAACAAUAAAAGUGCCGGAUCUACCUUUAAAGAAAACGAGUUUAGAGAAAAGUUCCCUUUUGUAUUCAAUAUUUGUAUGCUUUUUUUGUAUAUUCGAUCGUCCCCCUUUUUUACAAUGUUCUUUGGUCUUUUUAUAGUGUCUAUUUACAAUAAAAAGAAAAUAAAAUUCGAAAUAAAAAUCCACCAAUCGCCCUCGCUCUGCCUUUUUAUUUUUUUCUGUGCCCCUUUUUCGUUUUGUGGUCUGUUUUCUGCUGUGGUUGCUCGUCUUUGGCAGGUACUGUGUGUAGAGGUUGCGGAUGUGGCAUGUACGGAGGCGAAGGCGUGCGUACGAGGCUCGUGUGAGCUGUGCUACGUACGUGCGAGGGGACGUCUGUUGCGGCGCUGGUUGGGGCUGAUGCUAGGGUUUCCUCUUCUAUUGUAAUCGGGUCUGGGCUAGGUUGAUUUGGGCUUGUUAUAUUGGGUUUAGUUUGUAUUUCGGGCCUUUGUAUUAUUUUGGUAACUGAUCUGGGCCAAUUUGUAAAUGGACCUUUUCGAACUGAAUUUAAUAUUUUUCCUUUUUUGUUUUGAUUUUUUUGGUUUUUUUGAAUGGGCCCCGGGCAAAUUGGGCCUGUUACAACACUAUCCCUCGGACUUCUCGUAUAUGAAAUAAGCUAACUUUUGGUA
RNAcentral lists this long non-coding RNA (15507 nucleotides) under Gossypium raimondii (Peruvian cotton). RNAcentral describes it as "long non-coding RNA (GRAI_LNC003109)". Lineage: Eukaryota; Viridiplantae; Streptophyta; Magnoliopsida; Malvales; Malvaceae. The record is from RNAcentral.